AACGCACAUUGCGCCCGCGAGUAUUCUCGCGGGCAUGCCUGUUCGAGCGUCAUUUCAACCAUCAAGCCCCCGGCUUGUGUUGGGGACCUGCGGCUGCCCGCAGGCCCCGAAAUCCAGUGGCGGGCUCGCUGUCGCACCGAGCGUAGUAGCACACUUCUCGCUCCGGGAGCGCGGCGGGCGCCUGCCGUAAAACCCCCCCACGUACCAAAGGUUGACCUCGGAUCAGGUAGGAAUACCCGCUGAACUUAA
RNAcentral lists this unclassified non-coding RNA (249 nucleotides) under uncultured Sordariales. Its description in RNAcentral is "sequence contains ITS2". The stretch from base 1 to 52 matches the Rfam family "5.8S ribosomal RNA", at positions 103 to 154 of the family's 154-position model. The record is from RNAcentral. Lineage: Eukaryota; Fungi; Ascomycota; Sordariomycetes; Sordariales.